GACGAACGCUGGCGGCGUGCCUAACACAUGCAAGUCGAGCGGAGUUGACAAGAGGAAGUUUUCGGAUGGAAUCUUGCCAGCUUAGCGGCGGACGGGUGAGUAACGCGUGAGCGACCAACCUUGCACAGGGGGAUAACGGACCGAAAGGUUCACUAAUACCGCAUGAGACCACGGUGUUGCAUGACCCAGGGGUCAAAGGAGGAAUCCGGUGCAAGACGGGCUCGCGUCCAAUUAGCUAGUUGGUAAGGUAAUGGCUUACCAAGGCGACGAUGCGUAGCCGACCUGAGAGGGUGAUCGGCCACAUUGGAACUGAGAUACGGUCCAAACUCCUACGGGAGGCAGCAGUGGGGAAUAUUGGGCAAUGGGGGAAACCCUGACCCAGCAACGCCGCGUGAAGGAAGAAGGUUUUCGGAUUGUAAACUUCUGUCCUUGGUGAAGAGAAGAAGACGGUAGCCAAGGAGGAAGCCCCGGCUAACUACGUGCCAGCCGCCGCCGUAA
RNAcentral lists this ribosomal RNA (498 nucleotides) under uncultured bacterium. RNAcentral's name for it is "partial 16S ribosomal RNA". It matches the Rfam family "Bacterial small subunit ribosomal RNA", at positions 28 to 523 of the family's 1533-position model. The record is from RNAcentral.